RNAcentral lists this transfer RNA (65 nucleotides) under Dipodomys ordii (Ord's kangaroo rat). It matches the Rfam family "tRNA". From Rfam's summary of the family: Transfer RNA (tRNA) molecules are approximately 80 nucleotides in length. Their secondary structure includes four short double-helical elements and three loops (D, anti-codon, and T loops). Lineage: Eukaryota; Metazoa; Chordata; Mammalia; Rodentia; Heteromyidae. The record is from Rfam by way of RNAcentral.
GGUGGCUCAGUGGUAGAGUGUUUGUCUUGCGAGCAUGAGGUCCUGGGUUCGAUUCCUCAGCACCA